UACGGGAAGGCAGCAGUGGGGAAUAUUGCACAAUGGGCGAAAGCCUGAUGCAGCUAUGCCGCGUGUAUGAAGAAGGCCUUAGGGUUGUAAAGUACUUUCAUCGGGGAGGAAAAAACAAAACUAAUAAUUUUAUUUCUUGACGUUACCCGAAAAAGAAGCACCGGCUAACUCCGUGCCAGCAGCCGCGGUAAUACGGAGGGUGCUAGCGUUAAUCAGAAUUACUGGGCGUAAAGAGCACGUAGGUGGUUUUUUUAAGUCAGAUGUGAAAUCCCUGGGCUUAACCUAGGAACUGCAUUUUGAAACUGAAAUACUAGAGUAUCGUAGAGGGAGGUAGAAUUCUAGGUGUAGCGGUGAAAUGCGUAGAUAUCUGGAGGAAUACCUGUGGCGAAAGCGGCCUCCUAAACGAAUACUGACACUGAGGUGCGAAAGCGUGGGGAGCGAAACAGGGAUUAGAUACC
RNAcentral lists this ribosomal RNA (458 nucleotides) under uncultured bacterium. RNAcentral describes it as "bacterial SSU rRNA". It matches the Rfam family "Bacterial small subunit ribosomal RNA", at positions 340 to 786 of the family's 1533-position model. The record is from RNAcentral.